Molecule: transfer RNA, 57 nt
Filed under: Calumma cucullatum
Lineage: Eukaryota; Metazoa; Chordata; Lepidosauria; Squamata; Chamaeleonidae
Description: tRNA-Ser
Source: RNAcentral
GAAAGGGCCAAAAAACUGCUAACUUUUACCACUGAUACUAACCCAUCAGACCUUUCC